ACGAACGCGGCGGCGUGCCUAAUACAUGCAAGUCGAACGCUUCUUUCCUCCCGAGUGCUUGCGCUCAAUUGGAAAGAGGAGUGGCGGACGGGUGAGUAACACGUGGGUAACCUACCCAUCAGAGGGGGAUAACACUUGGAAACAGGUGCUAAUACCGCAUAACAGUUUAUGCCGCAUGGCAUAAGAGUGAAAGGCGCUUUCGGGUGUCGCUGAUGGAUGGACCCGCGGUGCAUUAGCUAGUUGGUGAGGUAACGGCUCACCAAGGCCACGAUGCAUAGCCGACCUGAGAGGGUGAUCGGCCACACUGGGACUGAGACACGGCCCAGACUCCUACGGGAGGCAGCAGUAGGGAAUCUUCGGCAAUGGACGAAAGUCUGACCGAGCAAACGCCGCGUGAGUGAAGAAGGUUUUUCGGAUUCGUAAAACUUCUGU
RNAcentral lists this ribosomal RNA (432 nucleotides) under Enterococcus faecalis. Its description in RNAcentral is "bacterial SSU rRNA". It matches the Rfam family "Bacterial small subunit ribosomal RNA", at positions 29 to 437 of the family's 1533-position model. Lineage: Bacteria; Bacillati; Bacillota; Bacilli; Lactobacillales; Enterococcaceae. The record is from RNAcentral.